Molecule: ribosomal RNA, 441 nt
Filed under: uncultured bacterium
Lineage: Bacteria
Description: partial 16S ribosomal RNA
Rfam family: Bacterial small subunit ribosomal RNA
Source: RNAcentral
CCUACGGGAGGCAGCAGUGGGGAAUAUUGCACAAUGGGGGAAACCCUGAUGCAGCGACGCCGCGUGAAGGAAGACGGUUUUCGGAUUGUAAAGUUCUGUUAUCAGGGAAGAAUAUUGCCGGUAGCUACGGAGCAAGCCACGGCUAAUUACGUGCCAGCAGCGGCGGCAAAACGUAGGGGGAAAGCGUUGUCCGGAAUUAUUGGGUGUAAAGGGAGCGAAGGCGGUUAGCGAAGUCAGCUGGGAAAGCACCGGGCCUAACUUGGGGACUGCUGUGGAAACUGGUAACCUUGAGUGAAGUAGGGGUAGGCGGAAUUCCUGGUGUAGCGGUGAAAUGCGUAGAUAUUAGGAGGAACACCGGAGGCGAAGGCGGCCUACUGGGCUGAAACUGACGUUGAGGCUCGAAAGCGUGGGGAGCAAACAGGAUUAGAUACCCGAGUAGUC